UACACUUCGAGAUCUCGCCUUCAGAAUAAUAACAUGUAACCAAUUUUUUCAAUUCGAAUUUAUACAGCUUCUGAAAACUUAUCGUUACUCCUAAUAAUGUUAUGACAGUUUGUAAUUUAAGACAAGAAAAAUAAAAAUUUCUCUGCGUUGUUAUCUGCGUUUGUCUGUAAGUAUCGACAACAAACAUAGCAACAACCUCAACCUAGACACCGAAACUCCUGACACGACGAUCACAACCAACACAAA
This is a long non-coding RNA of Xenia sp. Carnegie-2017, 246 nucleotides long. RefSeq lists it as uncharacterized. The record is from RefSeq and is a predicted model, not a curated record. The transcript is spliced from 2 exons. Lineage: Eukaryota; Metazoa; Cnidaria; Anthozoa; Malacalcyonacea; Xeniidae.